Molecule: ribosomal RNA, 1061 nt
Filed under: Mytilina trigona
Lineage: Eukaryota; Metazoa; Rotifera; Eurotatoria; Ploima; Brachionidae
Description: SSU rRNA
Rfam family: Eukaryotic small subunit ribosomal RNA
Source: RNAcentral
UUGUCUCAAAGAUUAAGCCAUGCAUGUCUAAGUACAUACCUUAUGCACGGUGAAACCCGACGAAUGGCUCAUUAAAUCAGUUAUGGUUCCUUAGAUCGUUCAUAUUACAUGGAUAACUGUGGUAAUUCUAGAGCUAAUACAUGCAAAAAGCUCCGACCGUAUGGGAAGAGCGCUUUUAUUAGACCAAAACCAAUGGGGUCGAAAGAUCCCUUUGUCUGGUGACUCUGGAUAACUUUGUGCUGAUCGCAUGGCCUCGAGCCGGCGACGUAUCUUUCAAAUGUCUGCCCUAUCAACUUUCGAUGGUAAGCGAUUUGCCUACCAUGGUUGUAACGGGUAACGGGGAAUCAGGGUUCGAUUCCGGAGAGGGAGCAUGAGAAAUGGCUACCACAUCUACGGAAGGCAGCAGGCGCGCAAAUUACCCACUCCUAGAUCGGGGAGGUAGUGACGAAAAAUAACAAUACCGGACUCUAUGAGGCUCGGUAAUUGAAAUGAGUACAGUUUAAAACCCUUAACGAGGAUCUAUUGGAGGGCAAGUCUGGUGCCAGCAGCCGCGGUAAUUCCAGCUCCAAUAGCGUAUAUUAAAGUUGUUGCAGUUAAAAAGCUCGUAGUUGGAUCUCGGGUACUAGCAUGUGGUACGCUUAAUUGCUGUCACUACAUGUCUGGUCCUAAUCAAUCGGUUGGCCGUUGAUGCCCUUUAUUGGGUGUUUUCGGUAGCCGAUACGUUUACUUUGAGAAAAUUAGAGUGCUUAAAGCAGGCCAUACGCCUGAAUAAUGUUGCAUGGAAUAAUAGAAUAGGACCUCGGUUCUAUUUUGUUGGUUUUGUAGAGCAUUGAGGUAAUGAUUAAUAGGGACAGACGGGGGCAUUCGUAUUGCGGUGUUAGAGGUGAAAUUCUUGGAUCGCCGCAAGACGAACAACUGCGAAAGCAUUUGCCAAGAAUGUUUUCAUUAAUCAAGAACGAAAGUUGGAGGUUCGAAGACGAUUAGAUACCGUCCUAGUUCCAACCAUAAACGAUGCCAACUAGCGAUUAGCUGCUGUUACUUAAACGAACACAGCUAGCAGC